RNAcentral lists this transfer RNA (72 nucleotides) under Cryomorphaceae bacterium. It matches the Rfam family "tRNA". From Rfam's summary of the family: Transfer RNA (tRNA) molecules are approximately 80 nucleotides in length. Their secondary structure includes four short double-helical elements and three loops (D, anti-codon, and T loops). Further hydrogen bonds mediate the characteristic L-shaped molecular structure. tRNAs have two regions of fundamental functional importance: the anti-codon, which is responsible for specific mRNA codon recognition, and the 3' end, to which the tRNAs corresponding amino acid is attached (by aminoacyl-tRNA synthetases). tRNAs cope with the degeneracy of the genetic code in two manners: having more than one tRNA (with a specific anti-codon) for a particular amino acid; and 'wobble' base-pairing, i.e. permitting non-standard base-pairing at the 3rd anti-codon position. The record is from Rfam by way of RNAcentral. Lineage: Bacteria; Pseudomonadati; Bacteroidota; Flavobacteriia; Flavobacteriales; Cryomorphaceae.
GGCCCCGUAGUUCAAGGGAUAGAAUAGAAGUUUCCUAAACUUUUGAUCCGCGUUCGAGUCGCGGCGGGGCUA